RNAcentral lists this unclassified non-coding RNA (298 nucleotides) under fungal sp. Its description in RNAcentral is "partial internal transcribed spacer region". The stretch from base 1 to 45 matches the Rfam family "Eukaryotic small subunit ribosomal RNA", at positions 1787 to 1831 of the family's 1831-position model. Lineage: Eukaryota; Fungi. The record is from RNAcentral.
AGUCGUAACAAGGUUUCCGUAGGUGAACCUGCGGAAGGAUCAUUGUCGUGACCCUGACCAAAACAGACCGCGCACGCGUUAUCUAACUUGCCGGUGGCGGCACUGUCCGUCGCUUGGCCAAAGUCCUCGAUAACCUUCUCUUCUCGGAGAGGGGGCCUCGGGGUAAAAGAACCCACGGCGCCGAAGGCGUCAAGGAACACUGUGCCUAACUCGGGGAUGCGGCUGGCUUGCUAGCCGCCCCUCGUGUUGCAAUGCUAUUUAAUCCACAUGACUCUCGGCAACGGAUAUCUCGGCUCUC